Podarcis lilfordi (Lilford's wall lizard) is the source of this 2020-nucleotide non-coding RNA. Lineage: Eukaryota; Metazoa; Chordata; Lepidosauria; Squamata; Lacertidae. The record is from the annotation of a GenBank genome assembly.
CUGUCUGCCAACUGCUUUCCCAACUGCCUUUUCCCAACCAACCAACCAACUAACCAAAACCAACCUCGGGAUAAGCCCUUUUAUAAACAGGUAGGCUCCGCCUCUGGCUUUUCUAUUGGUCUACCUAUUAACUCUUUAUCUUCCCCUGUACAGACAUUUUCAAAUGAAUGGGCAAACACCACAGAGCCCAUUUUUGAAAAACUUAUUUUGUCACACACACCCAGUGAUGACAUCUGGGGCGCACCCCACACCCCACACCCCCUUCCUCUGCCACUGAAUGCAUUACUAAAUAGACAUCUGACUAAUUGGGAAUAUGGUUUGAGCGUCCACAAUGAAUCCCCAAAGAGAAUUUGCUCCAACAGGAGGGAAGCGCUGGAGUUCUAAUGGAAAUGGAGAAAAAACUCUGUCUGCUUUCUCUACACCAUGCAUCAUUUUAUAAGCCUCUAGAGUUACUGUUAAGUUGUGGGUGAACAUAUCAGAUGACACAGCGAUUCUUCAAACAGCUCUUGUUUAUUCAGAAGCCAGAACAGAACUGAACUGAAGAGCUCAGUCAGCCUGCUUAUAUAGAGCUCCAGAACAACGUAACUGCAGCAACUUUCUAAAACUAUCCAAUCACUGAACAUCACUUUCGAUCCUUCAUUUGCAUACAAACUAUCCAAUCACUGAACGUCACUUUCGAUCCUUCAUUUGCAUAACUAUCUACAAUAUCCCCCUGCUGGCCCAGGGUGAGAACUUCAGUACAUAACAGUUACCUAUCCUUCUUUUCUUUUCUUUUUUACCCUAGGGUAAAAAUCCCCAAGGAGUUCGGCUCAACCUUCCUCAAAUUGGUUGUCCUCCAGGUGUCAUUGGAGUAUAAUUCCCGUGAGCCCCAGCCAGCAAGGCCAGUGGCCAGAGUUAAUGGGGAGCUAUAGCCCAGGAGGCUGCCUAGGAGGUCCCAUUUAAGAGUGGUGGAUGGUGGCUUAAUUUUUCAUGACUCAUCUCAGUUCUUCUAGAGAGGCAAGCUUCUGUGCUCCACCCCACAGUUUGGGAAUCAUUGUAGUAGAAAGACCGUGAAUGCGUAAGAGCAGGAGAGUACAUGUGAACGAUACAUCAAUAUUCAAGCUUUGCCUUUCCAGGAGUUCCCCACCCCCCACCCCUCUCUUUCUGAUACAUCAAUCUCAAAUGAAAAGAUUGCCCAGAUACAAAGAAAUCAAGGAGAAAUGGGACAAUUGGGAGACAUUAAAGCGAGUCAUUUUCCCCUUCAUUUUCACUUCAUUUUUUUUGCAACCCUUCCAAAGAAGUGAAAGACGUGACCUCACUGUGUUCAUUUCCUUAGACAAUGAUUUUCCAUUCAGAUGGAGAGAAUCUAGUAUUUCUAUUAAGCCUAAACAAAGUGCUAAUAUAAUUCUUCAAGCAGUAUAUAAAAAAUUCAUUAUCCCUUUGAAGGCCAAACAAGUUGGAGCGCCAGCAGAAUAAUGCACUGGAUCUUACUUAUGAUCAGCAUCUCUCCUGAAUUGUGUGUGCUUCGUGCACAGAUGGUAUUUAUUGACAACAAAACUUAAGAAAAUGCCUGGCUGGUAUUCAGUGUUUAUUAAAGUGGACCCUGGAGGCAUAAAAGCAGAGAUCUCUGUCCUUUAUAGGAGAGAAAAUGCCUUAUUGCAUACAUUGCCUAACAUUAAUUUUGUAAAUCUGUUUCCUCAGAUGCUGGGUCCCCAGAACGAUUAGGAUAUAUAUUUUCAUAAUAAAAGGAAUACCAUGUCAGGUUUCACUGCAAUGUGAUGGAACCCCUACUGUGCAUGAAAUGAAGGAUCCCAAAGUCUAUAGUAGUUUUCGGCAGUCGUAUUCAGAUGGCAAAAUGAAAUUAAUCAUCUCUGAAGGGGGGUGGCCUACAGCGGUUUCUCCGCUGUUGAAAACCGUAGCGUUUGCUACGUGGUCUAAAAUGCAUGUGCGACCCCUACAUAUUUUAUGAGGGGUACUGGCAUUCAUUUAUUUAUUUAAAAAAUCAUAUCCUCCUCUUCAUCACAGGUGAUCUCAAGGCAGG